AGUGUGUGUUGUUCCCCUCUGUGUGUCCAUGUGUUCUCAUCAUUUAGCUCGCACUUAUAAAUGACAACAUGCAGUAUUUGGUUUUCUGUUCCUGCGUUAGUUUGCUAAGGAUAAUGGCCAUUAUCUUAGCCAUUUGAAAAUAAUGAUUUAACCUCUCUCACCUUCAUUGUCAUUUUAGAAGAAACUACCAUUUGGUGUCCUGCUGAGACAAGAAAAUAUUUUCACAACUCAAGACAAGUUAAAUAUCCACUUAUGGGAACAGUGCUGAAGGCCUGGACUAGGAUGGUAGCAAUGGAGACAGACUAAAGAUAUUUAUCAGUGCAUGAACGGACUAAUACAGAGGCAGAAGCACAUCUGCAGGCAGAAAUGGGGAAAAAAAUAAUAUCAGAAGAAAGGAUAAGAGGAAGAGCUUAAGAAUAAAAAGAGAUGCAAUCAUUCCCUUGCAUAUGGUCCGUAUGAAGACGGGAUCAUUACAGGAAAGGUGAAGGAGAUACAGUCAUUAUGCUCUAUAUACACCCAUUUUUAUGGCUAGCGGCUGAAGAUGGGAUGCUUUCUUUGCUGGAAGACCUAUUACCUGUUAGGUUGCAAAAGAUGUGAUCAUCUUCCUAAACAAUAAUUUAGAGUCCCAUAACAAUUUUAAGUGUGCUGUUCAUGAAAAUUUGAAUACAUUGUAUUGGGAAUAUAAUGGAAGUGAGAUGCCUCAUGUCGUGAGAAAAUCUGACAUAAACUCCUUAAGCAUGAGAGGCCAUGUGGGUAUGGAAGCCCUGAAAGGGAGGAAAAAACAGCCAGACCCUAGCUGUUCCAGUCAUCCCAACUGAGGUGCCAGACUUGUGAUUGAGGCCAUCUUGCAUCAUCUAGGCCUAGUAGAGCUGCCAACUGACUGCAGACACAUGAGUCAAUCCAGCUAAUGCCACAUGGAGCAGAGACAAGCCGCCCAGCUGAGCCCAGUCCAGAUGACAGAAUCAUGAGCAAAUAAGGUUGUUGUUCUUUUAAGCCACUAAAUUUUCGGGUGAUUUGUUACACAGUAAUAAAUAACUGAAACA
Long non-coding RNA from Homo sapiens (human), 1043 nucleotides. Ensembl annotates it as long intergenic non-protein coding RNA 1370. NCBI's taxonomy places the organism in Eukaryota, Metazoa, Chordata, Mammalia, Primates, Hominidae. The record is from Ensembl.